This is a long non-coding RNA of Ceratitis capitata (Mediterranean fruit fly), 459 nucleotides long. RefSeq lists it as uncharacterized. The transcript is spliced from 2 exons. The record is from RefSeq and is a predicted model, not a curated record. NCBI's taxonomy places the organism in Eukaryota, Metazoa, Arthropoda, Insecta, Diptera, Tephritidae.
CAAAACCGAUUUUCGAAUCAGCUGUCAUUACACCUGUCCAAAAAACACAGCAAUUUAAUUUAAUUAAUGUACUGGCUUUAACAAAUUUUUAAUUAAAAAUAAUAUGACUUGAGCCGUGAUAUUAGUUUUGACGAUAAAAGACAGACCAGCGAAAAAAUAAAGCCCAAAAUUUUAAGGGUUAGGAACAAUCUCCUGAAGUUGCCAGAGACGAUAUUCAUAGACCAAUAUCGUCUUAACUAAGAAGUCUCUGUAAUAGUGCUGGAUGCCGGUGAAGAUAAGUUAGAUAGGCUGUCUCCAUGCCACCUGUGCGCCAACUUGCAGCGACACUGCGGAUAUUGACAGAAGGCUUCUAUUAACAAUCUGUGGGAAAUAACAAAAAUGCUAAAGGCUUUUGAACGUUUGAAUUGUGCACUCUGGAUAACUUUAGGAAUGAAUUGGAAUAAAAUCUAUUGUUCAUGA